Molecule: long non-coding RNA, 2146 nt
Organism: Herpailurus yagouaroundi (jaguarundi)
Lineage: Eukaryota; Metazoa; Chordata; Mammalia; Carnivora; Felidae
Exons: 2
Source: RefSeq, a predicted model, not a curated record
GAGCAUGCAACUUGACCUUGGGGUUGUAAGUUUGAGCCCCAUGUUGGGUGUACGGAUUACUUAAAAUCUUGGAAAUACAGUUAUCUUUCGGCAGGCCCUUUUAAAAGAGAUAAUUGCCUAAGGACACGUGGGUGGCUCAGUCGGUUAAGCGUCCAAACUCCUGAUACCAGCUCAGCUUGUGAUCUCGCAGUCGUGAGGUUGGUGGAGUCUGCUCAGCUCGGAGCCUGCUUGAGAUUCUCUCUCCCCCUCUCUGCCCCUCUCCUGCUUGCAUGUGCGUGCUCUCUCUCUCUCAAGAUAAAUGAAAGUUGUUUUUUUUUUUUUAAAGAUAACUGCCUAAAAUUUCAUUUUUGCUACUUUACCAUCCUCCAAGGUGGCAUUAUAAGCCAUCAUUGUAGGAAUUUUCCUACUUUCGUUAGCCACACUAGGCAGCUUAUGGGGAUGCUGUGGAAUCUCUGUGUUCAUCAUCUGCCAGCAAAUGGAACUUCCAAUGCCUUCCUAUCUACUUCGCAGCUGGGACUAGCUUCCAGCGUGGUGACUCUGUGAUCCUCCUUUCCCGAGCACAGAGUUGAGAUCUGCCCCUCACAGCUGAAAGGACUAUCUUGCAACUGCCCGUGGGACGCUGGCAUCCAGAGGUGAGUCUUUUGCCCAGCUCUUUUUAAAUUUUAGCCAACUUUAAUCGAUUUAGCGGGUGCAACAUGCUGUUUGGGGGCUUUCCUCAUUCGUCAAGCCCUUAGACCAGUCGUGGCUCCCUCGGAGCCAGCUUUUAAAUCCCUUCCCACCCUAUUCCACCCUAGCAACAAAAACAGCUGCACGUACAGCUUGACCAGCAGCAAAAGUACAAACACUUCCUCCUCAGUUUUCCUUGCUAUUUUUAGUUUUAUUCCUACCCUGGGUUUUCUUUGGCUUUAUGUAGCGGUCAUCUGGGUCAGCUGACCCAUGCCUCUGAAGUAGAUGCCGCGUCUCUAAUUAGAGACCACUCAUUCCAUCUGCCUCCCAUUCUCUCUUCUCUCUCAUGGCUGUGGCUCAAGUGUUGCUGGUGGUCACUGUUUUUCUUUCCAUGGUGCCUCUCUGGUCUGUUGUGGAACUGAAGCCAAUUAGGAAGACCAGGAAAGGGGAAGCCAAGUUUGUAUGGAGGUCUGUGGGGAGGAGCAGUAGGCCGCGGAGAGUUGGUGGUUUAUUCAGAUUAUCCAAAGAUUCAGACCACUUUAAUAAUACGCUUUUCAGCUUUCUGACUUCACUUCUGUCAGCUGCCUAUCACUAUCGCAGUAGGUAGGUGUGGGGGGGGGGGGAAUGGACCUGUUGCCCACAGUAGGUGAGGAACAGCCAUCGGGAGGAUGGGAGUAGGAACAUAAAAUGUCUGACCAGGAAGGAGGUUUACCUCCAGGACCCCACCGUUCUCAUGAGGAAACCAAGGUCCCAGAGAUAAGAAGAUCAUUGUUUAGCUUCCAUGCCCAUUUCCUAGCGAGUCUUGUCCAGCCUAACUAGGACCAAAGGAGAAGGAAACACACAUGUGAGUGCCUGGGUGGCAGGGUGGGUUUCGAGCCAUUUCGAGAGGCAGAGACUGCAGCCGGAGCCCGCGUCUCUCGUGCGACCUGAGCCAGAGAAGAACAUUCUGGAACAGGAGAACCCCUGAAAAUUGAAUUUACUACUGCUACAGAUAGCUGUCAUUCCCUGUAAGGGCUGUGGGUACCCACCUUUCUAAACACCACGUGUUUUAUUUCACUGGAGCCUCAGAACAAGCCUAUGAGGAAGUCACAUUGCUAUCUCUACUUCACAAGUGAGGACAUUAAAGCAGAAGUUCAUUGCUUUCCUAACACUCUGCUAUCUGCCUCCUAACCAAGAAUAUAGUUCAAAAGAGAAAAAGUGAUCUACCGGAAGAUGUUCAGCACAUGCUUACUUAUCACAAAAAGUUGAAUGUAACUUAACCAUCUGACGGUUGAAGAGUGAUUAACUCCACAGAGUGCAAAUCGGCGGAACACAAUUCGAACUCUUAAAAUGAUCGUUGUAAUAAAUCCGUCGCGGGGCAGAAAGUUGUUUGUGACAUGUGUGGAAAACGGUGCAAGGGCAUGUACCUCCGCUGUGGUUUACAUGGCCACGACUAGAAGAAAACUUGAGAGAAUAAAAAGCUCAUGUAUUAAAAUGGGAC